This 593-nucleotide ribosomal RNA is filed under the name uncultured bacterium. Its description in RNAcentral is "partial 16S ribosomal RNA". It matches the Rfam family "Bacterial small subunit ribosomal RNA", at positions 355 to 1375 of the family's 1533-position model. The record is from RNAcentral.
UGGGGAAUUUUGGACAAUGGGGGAAACCCUGAUCCAGCCAUCCCGCGUGUGCGAUGAAGGCCUUCGGGUUGUAAAGCACUUUUGGCAGGAAAGAAACGUCGCGGGUUAAUACCCCGCGAAACUGACGGUACCUGCAGAAUAAGCACCGGCUAACUACGUGCCAGCAGCCGCGGUAAUACGUAGGGUGCAAGCGUUAAUCGGAAUUACUGGGCGUAAAGCGUGCGCAGGCGGUUCGGAAAGAAAGAUGUGAAAUCCCAGAGCUUAACUUUGGAACUGCAUUUUAACUACCGGGCUAGAGUGUGUCAGAGGGAGGUGGAAUUCCGCGUGUAGCAGUGAAAUGCGUAGAUAUGCGGAGGAACACCGAUGGCGAAGGCAGCCUCCUGGGAUAACACUGACGCUCAUGCACGAAAGCGUGGGGAGCAAACAGGAUUAGAUACCCUGGUAGUCCACGCUGUAAACGAUGUCGAUUUUGGAGGUUGUGCCCUUGAGGCGUGGCUUCCGGAGCUAACGCGUUAAAUCNACCGCCUGGGGGAGUACGGGCCGCAAGGUUAAAACUUAAAGGAAUUGGCNCGGGAUGUAAUACUGAUUUUCCC